CACGUAGGCGGUUUGUUAAGUCGGAUGUGAAAGCCCCGGGCUCAACCUGGGAACUGCAUUCGAUACUGUCAGACUAGAGUAUAGAAGAGGCAAGUGGAAUUCCGGGUGUAGCGGUGAAAUGCGUAGAUAUCCGGAGGAACAUCAGUGGCGAAGGCGACUUGCUGGUCUAAUACUGACGCUGAGGUGCGAAAGCGUGGGAGCAAACG
Molecule: ribosomal RNA, 206 nt
Filed under: uncultured bacterium
Lineage: Bacteria
Description: partial 16S ribosomal RNA
Rfam family: Bacterial small subunit ribosomal RNA
Source: RNAcentral